GAAAGCGAUGCUAAUACCGAAUGAUAUCUCAAAAACUUCGGUUUUUAAGAUCAAAGGUGGCCGCUCCAUGGGAGCUACUGUUAGGAGAUGAGCCCGCGUACCAUUAGCUUGUUGGUAGGGUAAUGGCCUACCAAGGCAACGAUGGUUAGCUGGUCUGAGNAGGAUGAUCAGCCACACUGGAACUGACACACGGUCCAGACUCCUACGGGAGGCAGCAGCGAGGAAUUUUGCGCAAUGGGGGAAACCCUGACGCAGCAACGCCGCGUGAGUGAUGAAGGCUUUCGGGUCGUAAAGCUCUGUCAAGUGGGAAGAACNUGCCCUGUGCUAAUAUCACCGGGCACUGACGGUNCCACUGAAGGAAGCACCGGCUAACUCCGUGCCAGCAGCCGCGGUAAUACGGGGGGGUGCAAGCGUUUAUUCGGAAUCACNUGAGCGUAAAGAGCGCGGUAGGCGGUCUCUUAAGUCANAUGUGAAAAGCCCGGNGGCUCAACCCCCGGAAG
RNAcentral lists this ribosomal RNA (500 nucleotides) under uncultured bacterium. Its description in RNAcentral is "bacterial SSU rRNA". It matches the Rfam family "Bacterial small subunit ribosomal RNA", at positions 153 to 622 of the family's 1533-position model. The record is from RNAcentral.